This 518-nucleotide ribosomal RNA is filed under the name Meyerozyma caribbica. RNAcentral describes it as "eukaryotic LSU rRNA". It matches the Rfam family "Eukaryotic large subunit ribosomal RNA", at positions 120 to 655 of the family's 3401-position model. The record is from RNAcentral. Lineage: Eukaryota; Fungi; Ascomycota; Pichiomycetes; Serinales; Debaryomycetaceae.
CUCGGCACCUUCGGUGUCCGAGUUGUAAUUUGAAGAUUGUAACCUUGGGGUUGGCUCUUGUCUAUGUUUCUUGGAACAGGACGUCACAGAGGGUGAGAAUCCCGUGCGAUGAGAUGCCCAAUCCUAUGUAAGGUGCUUUCGAAGAGUCGAGUUGUUUGGGAAUGCAGCUCUAAGUGGGUGGUAAAUUCCAUCUAAAGCUAAAUAUUGGCGAGAGACCGAUAGCGAACAAGUACAGUGAUGGAAAGAUGAAAAGAACUUUGAAAAGAGAGUGAAAAAGUACGUGAAAUUGUUGAAAGGGAAGGGUUUGAGAUCAGACUCGAUAUUUUGUGAGCCUUGCCUUCGUGGCGGGGUGACCCGCAGCUUAUCGGGCCAGCAUCGGUUUGGGCGGUAGGAUAAUGGCGUAGGAAUGUGACUUUGCUUCGGUGAAGUGUUAUAGCCUGCGUUGAUGCUGCCUGCCUAGACCGAGGACUGCGAUUUUAUCAAGGAUGCUGGCAUAAUGAUCCCAAACCGCCCGUCUU